GGGUGACUAGUCUAGUGGUCAGGACGUUUCGUUGUGGUAAAACACGAAUCCGAAGAAACCCCGGUUCGAUUCCGGGGUCGCCCA
Molecule: non-coding RNA, 84 nt
Organism: Chaetomium sp. MPI-CAGE-AT-0009
Lineage: Eukaryota; Fungi; Ascomycota; Sordariomycetes; Sordariales; Chaetomiaceae
Source: the annotation of a GenBank genome assembly